AGUGAACGCUGGCGGUAGGCCUAACACAUGCAAGUCGAACGGCAGCACAGUAAGAGCUUGCUCUUACGGGUGGCGAGUGGCGGACGGGUGAGGAAUACAUCGGAAUCUACUUUUUCGUGGGGGAUAACGUAGGGAAACUUACGCUAAUACCGCAUACGGCCUACGGGUGAAAGCAGGGGAUCUUCGGACCUUGCGCGAUUGAAUGAGCCGAUGUCGGAUUAGCUAGUUAGCGGGGUAAAGGCCCACCAAGGCGACGAUCCGUAGCUGGUCUGAGAGGAUGAUCAGCCACACUGGAACUGAGACACGGUCCAGACUCCUACGGGAGGCAGCAGUGGGGAAUAUUGGACAAUGGGCGCAAGCCUGAUCCAGCCAUACCGCGUGGGUGAAGAAGGCCUUCGGGUUGUAAAGCCCUUUUGUUGGGAAAGAAAAGCAGCAGGUUAAUACCCCGCUGUUCUGACGGUACCCAAAGAGUAAGCACCGGCUAACUUCGUG
RNAcentral lists this ribosomal RNA (492 nucleotides) under uncultured bacterium. RNAcentral's name for it is "partial 16S ribosomal RNA". It matches the Rfam family "Bacterial small subunit ribosomal RNA", at positions 29 to 507 of the family's 1533-position model. The record is from RNAcentral.